Non-coding RNA from Acanthosepion pharaonis, 98 nucleotides. NCBI's taxonomy places the organism in Eukaryota, Metazoa, Mollusca, Cephalopoda, Sepiida, Sepiidae. The record is from the annotation of a GenBank genome assembly.
UUCUAACACUGGUUCUCUGCUGAUCACUGAAGUUAAGCAAUGUUGAACCUGGUGAGUACCUAUAUGGGUGACUGCUUGGGAAUACCAGGUGUUGUAAG